RNAcentral lists this ribosomal RNA (831 nucleotides) under Triticum aestivum (bread wheat). RNAcentral's name for it is "partial small subunit ribosomal RNA". Lineage: Eukaryota; Viridiplantae; Streptophyta; Magnoliopsida; Poales; Poaceae. The record is from RNAcentral.
AUGUACCUCAUGUUCGACCCAACGGUGUCGUUGCACUACGACGUGCUAUGCUUCCCUAACGUGCCUGAAAGGCCGACGCCACCAGAUCAGUCUCCCAAGAGACAUUGCAAGGAGGGAUCAUCAUGGACGAGAGUGUACACUUUUAGGGAUUUUGCCAAAUUGCCGCCAUCUUUGAAAUCAGAAUAUCGGGACGAGGUGAACACACUGCGGAGUAAAAAGAAAUCCAGUGGGUAUUUUGGAAAAUCGAAGCAGAGGAUCUACUACACCGCUGUCAACGGGUACCAAAUUUUGGUAUGGGUAUUACAAGAGGCAUCAGAGACAUGUCAAACCCUAGAGUGGGCGCUAAGGCAUCAAAAUGACCUUGAGCAUGAUUUUCAGCAACACUAUAACCGACACCUUAUAGGAGAUGAGAUUGGCAAGUCUUGGACAUUGGAUCCCUGUAUGGAAGAAUCAAGUGACAAAGGGGACAAUGGAUGGGACUCUAGUGAUGACAGCGUCACUGAUGCAGGAGAAGAAGGGAUCAACGCACCGGCCGACGGAAGGCCAGGUCGACGGCAAGCGCGUGAGCGAGGAGGCCGUAGCGGCCAUGGUUGCGCGAACCCCAACUUCGUCGCGGAGCAGCGUGCAAUCUACGAGGCCGUCCGUGCUCUAAAGCCGCCGCUCGCCACGAAGCGGUCGUCACGGAGGCGCAGGACGCCAGCCUGCACCCCUAUUGCUGCUCUCUCUCUCUCCCUCGUGCAUGUAUACUCAAGUGGGCAAAGGGAACAACGGCUCGCGAGGGGAUCAAUCGGUCCACCGCUGCCUAGCAGCAUCCUAAUUUUCCCAAUUUAA